GACGAACGCUGGCGGCGUGCUUAACACAUGCAAGUCGAACGGUGAAGCGAGUGCUUGCACUCGUGGAUCAGUGGCGAACGGGUGAGUAACACGUGAGUAACCUGCCCAUCACUCUGGGAUAAGCACUGGAAACGGUGUCUAAUACUGGAUACGACCAACCCUUGCAUGGGGUGUUGGUGGAAAGAUUUAUCGGUGAUGGAUGGACUCGCGGCCUAUCAGCUUGUUGGCGGGGUAAUGGCCCACCAAGGCGACGACGGGUAGCCGGCCUGAGAGGGUGACCGGCCACACUGGUACUGCGACACGGCCCAGACUCCUACGGGAGGCAGCAGUGGGGAAUAUUGCACAAUGGGCGAAAGCCUGAUGCAGCGACGCCGCGUGAGGGAUGACGGCCUUCGGGUUGUAAACCUCUUUCAGCAGGGAAGAAGCGAAAGUGACGGUACCUGCAGAAGAAGCACCGGCUAACUACGUG
This 469-nucleotide ribosomal RNA is filed under the name uncultured bacterium. Its description in RNAcentral is "partial 16S ribosomal RNA". It matches the Rfam family "Bacterial small subunit ribosomal RNA", at positions 28 to 507 of the family's 1533-position model. The record is from RNAcentral.